GACGAACGCUUGCGGCGUGCUUAACACAUGCAAGUCGAACGGAAAGGCCCUGCUUUUGUGGGGUGCUCGAGUGGCGAACGGGUGAGUAACACGUGAGUAACCUGCCCUUGACUUUGGGAUAACUUCAGGAAACUGGGGCUAAUACCGGAUAGGAGCUCCUGCUGCAUGGUGGGGGUUGGAAAGUUUCGGCGGUUGGGGAUGGACUCGCGGCUUAUCAGCUUGUUGGUGGGGUAGUGGCUUACCAAGGCUUUGACGGGUAGCCGGCCUGAGAGGGUGACUGGCCACAUUGGGACUGAGAUACGGCCCAGACUCCUACGGGAGGCAGCAGUGGGGAAUAUUGCACAAUGGGCGGAAGCCUGAUGCAGCAACGCCGCGUGCGGGAUGACGGCCUUCGGGUUGUAAACCGCUUUCGCCUGUGACGAAGCGUGAGUGACGGUAAUGGGUAAAGAAGCACCGGCUAACUACGUGCCAGCAGCCGCGGUGAUACGUAGGGUGCGAGCGUUGUCCGGAUUUAUUGGGCGUAAAGGGCUCGUAGGUGGUUGAUCGCGUCGGAAGUGUAAUCUUGGGGCUUAACCCUGAGCGUGCUUUCGAUACGGGUUGACUUGAGGAAGGUAGGGGAGAAUGGAAUUCCUGGUGGAGCGGUGGAAUGCGCAGAUAUCAGGAGGAACACCAGUGGCGAAGGCGGUUCUCUGGGCCUUUCCUGACGCUGAGGAGCGAAAGCGUGGGGAGCGAACAGGCUUAGAUACCCUGGUAGUCCACGCUGUAAACGGUGGGUACUAGGUGUGGGGUCCAUUCCACGGGUUCCGUGCCGUAGCUAACGCUUUAAGUACCCCGCCUGGGGAGUACGGCCGCAAGGCUAAAACUCAAAGGAAUUGACGGGGCCCCGCACAAGCGGCGGAGCAUGCGGAUUAAUUCGAUGCAACGCGUAGAACCUUACCUGGGUUUGACAUGGAUCGGGAGUGCUCAGAGAUGGGUGUGCCUCUUUUGGGGUCGGUUCACAGGUGGUGCAUGGCUGUCGUCAGCUCGUGUCGUGAGAUGUUGGGUUAAGUCCCGCAACGAGCGCAACCCUUGUUCACUGUUGCCAGCACGUUAUGGUGGGGACUCAGUGGAGACCGCCGGGGUCAACUCGGAGGAAGGUGGGGAUGACGUCAAGUCAUCAUGCCCCUUAUGUCCAGGGCUUCACGCAUGCUACAAUGGCUGGUACAGAGAGUGGCGAGCCUGUGAGGGUGAGCGAAUCUCGGAAAGCCGGUCUCAGUUCGGAUUGGGGUCUGCAACUCGACCUCAUGAAGUCGGAGUCGCUAGUAAUCGCAGAUCAGCAACGCUGCGGUGAAUACGUUCCCGGG
RNAcentral lists this ribosomal RNA (1343 nucleotides) under uncultured bacterium. RNAcentral describes it as "16S ribosomal RNA". It matches the Rfam family "Bacterial small subunit ribosomal RNA", at positions 28 to 1378 of the family's 1533-position model. The record is from RNAcentral.